AGAAUGAGAGCAGUGUUCAUAUUAUUGAUUUUGGAAUUUGCUAUGGUUUCCAGUGGCCAUGCCUAAUCAAAAAACUUUCAAUGAGACCUGGUGGUCCUGCAAAGCUUCGAAUUACGGGAAUUGAGCUUCCUCAGCCAGGAUUUAGGCCUGCAGAAAGGGCAGAGGAAACAGGAAGGCGUUUAGAGAACUACUGCAAGAAGUUCAAUGUACCAUUUGAAUACAACUGCAUUGCACAGAAAUGGGAAACUAUCCGGCUCGAGGAUCUAAAGAUAGACAGGAAUGAAAUAACUCUUGUUAGCUGUUUGUACAGACUGAAGAACCUUCCUGAUGAAACUGUGGCAUUGAAUUGUCCAAGAGAAGCUGUGUUGAAGCUGAUCAGGAAGAUUAAUCCAAAAGUCUUCUUCCAUGGAGUUGCCAAUGGAAGUUAUAACGCACCGUUUUUCCUGACUCGGUUUAAGGAAGCACUCUACCACUUCUCAUCGUUGUUUGAUAUGUUUGAGGCUAACGUGCCUUGCGAAGACCCGCAAAGGUUGAUGCUUGAGAGAGGGUUGUUUGGAAGGGAUGCUAUAAAUGUUAUAGCUUGUGAGGGUGCCGAGAGGGUCGAAAGGCCUGAGACCUACAAGCAAUGGCAGGUCAGGAACAAAAGAGCUGGGUUCAGGCAAAUCAGGUUUGAUUCUGAUUUAGUGAAUGAAACCAAAGCAAUGGUGAAGAAGGAAUACCAUAAAGAUUUUGUAGUUGAUGUCGAUGGUAAGUGGGUUUUGCAGGGAUGGAAAGGACGCAUUUUGAAUGCUUUAUCUGCUUGGGUUCCUGCCUAAGCAAAAUGUCCAAAAAGUGUUUUGAAUGGUUGACUGAAGUUUCAGAAGGGAUAGUGAACCAACACAUGCUAAUUUUGUAUUGAAAAAUGAAUUUGUUUUCAUUGGAAUUUAUUUUUAUGUUUAUAAUAUGAUCUGUUUUUGUUGUUGUCAAGUGUUAAAAAGAUGUAUGUAGAUUAGAGGACAAGUCUUACUAUUCCAUCAUGGAAUGGAAUCAUGGGACCAAUGAAUACAUUGAUCACAUUUUAAUACAUUUUCCCAUGAAUUCAAAACUGAAUUUAGUACUUCAAAUGAUUUAUAUAUUGAUAUAAUAACAGGUUUUGACGAAUGACUUGGGGAACAAGGGUGCACCUGCAUCUGAUUGACCACUUCAUAUUAUUUUGUUAUGAUACCAAUAGAAGAAAAGCCAAGUCAUCAAAGUGGGAUUAACAAAUUGGUUAGUGAAAAUGGACAUGUGUCAAUUGAUCCAACAAUUAAGGGAAAAAAGCUAAGAGAAAGUAUUCUUUGAACCCUCUAUAAAAGGAAGAAAUGAUGAGCAAGAAAAGUGUCUACAAAAAUGAUUGGAAUCACUCUCUUCUCUCUGUGAGCUCAGUGCUCUUCUGGUUGCUAUUAGUCUUGUACUUGGCUAUAGCAUUGUUAUCCUUCUUUUACCUUUCAUUUAUCAGUCCAACAAUUGUACCUCAUUGUACUGUUUUAAUCCAAGGUUAUUGAAUACAACUUGAGUAUUUCACAUUUUCAUCUUUGUUGAUUUACUGAGUUGUUACAUAUUUCAUAUAUUUUUAGAACAUGAAAAAUCAAACUCUAGAUCACACAGCACUUAUCACUAAUUCCUGUUUUAUAUAUUAUAGAAUAUCAUAUCAUGUAUUAUCACAAGAUAAGAUAAUAAGAAAGAGGGGUUGGCGGCUAUGAUACUCCUUCCUAGCAGCUUCCUCAGUACAAAGAAAGAAUCAUUUAUGAAUUCUAUAUUCUAAUUCUAUAUAACAAAGUUGUGACUCCAAGUCAUCAAACAAUUUUCCUCUUCAGAGUUGUUGGAUAGCAACUUUUCCUAGGUUUGUCCGAAGUUAUAUUCACUAGUGUCUACAAUAUUUUUACUCUAAUUCAUUCUUCUUUGUUCUAUUAUAUCAUCAUCAUUAUUAUCAUCCAAAAAUAGAGUCGUCUAUUUAGUUUUGUGAAUCUUGUUUCUUGCUGUUAUCAAAUAUAUCAAUCAACUAUGCUAUCUUUUCCUACUUCUGUUUUUGUUCUGUCUAUGGUUUAGUUGAUUCAUCAAAGUUUUCCUAAUCAGAUGAAUAUUUUUGGCUUCUGAGACACAAUCUUCCAAAACAUAUAUUGUAAGAGUCUGAGUUUUUUGUUUCAAUUUUGAUAUUAGCCUUGUUUCAAUAUGCUUUCUCCUAACACCUUUCUGCAAGAUUUUAGUGUUCCAAACUCAGUAAACCAAGUAACAAAUGGGUUUGAAUUAGAAGAUUCACCGUCUUCACCUUCUUCUUCUGGCACAAGCUCAAAUGGAGAAUCCUUGGAAACGACAAGAUAUUCCAAUAACAUUCUAAGAUACAUAAAUGACAUCCUCAUGGAUGAAGAAGAUGACCUGGAGCAAAAACCCUGCAUGUUGCAGGAAUGUUUAAGACUUCAGGCUGCUGAAAAGUCCUUCUAUGAUGUUCUUGGCCAUAACCAGCCUUCACCAAAUGAUAGCACUGACCCAGAUGGAAAUUUCGAUCACGAUGCUAGUUUUGAGAGAAAUGGCAGCAGCUACACCACUGAUAACUCAUAUGAAUCUAAUUGGGUCAACCAUGUCGUCGAAUUCGACUCUUCUUCCAUACAACUACAAACUCCUUUAAUAGAAAAAAACUACGAUGACUUGACAGAAGCUGAUCCAGUUGUCAUUGAGACACGAGGUGAUAAACAUUUUUGCAACGGAACUUGGAGUUGGAAUGACAUUCAGCCAGUGACGGUGAAAGAAGUUUCACCUUCAACAGUACCAGAAAAAAGAAGUCAUAAGAUGGAUAAUGAUAAUGGUACUUGUAAUGAACAAGAAGGAAGAGCUAGCAAGGUUUCAGCUAUUUUCUCUGAUGAAUUAGAGCCACCAGAGAUUUUAGAUGAGGUACUGCUUUAUCAGACAGGAAAGACUCUCACUCAACACCAACAAGCAUCUUAUAAUUAUGAUUCAGGAGGAAAGGAAAAGGAAACACAUUCGCUUUUGAAGAAAGCAUCUACUACGAAAAAUGUCGCGGCUGUGGAUUUGUGGACCAUGCUUAAUCAAUGUGCACAAGCUGUGGCGAGCUACGAUCAAAGGAAUACAGAUGAGCUACUCAAACAGAUUAGGCAACACUCUUCGCCUUUCGGCGAUGGACUCCAACGUUUAGCUCAUUACUUUGCUAAUGGUCUUGAGAUAAGAUUGGCUGCCGAGACGCCAUCAUAUCAGCCUCUUUAUGUGGCAACUGCUGGAGAUAUGUUGAAAGCUUACAAACUAUUUGUUACUGCGUCUCCUUUGCAGAGAAUGACAAAUGCUUUGCUAACCAAAACGAUUUUCAAAAUAGUGAAGAACGAGAGCAGCGUUCAUGUUAUUGAUUUUGGAAUUUGCUAUGGUUUCCAGUGGCCGUGCCUCGUCAGAAAACUAUCAUUAAGACCUGGUGGUCCUCCGAAGCUUCGAAUUACAGGAAUUGAGCUUCCUCAGCGAGGAUUUAGACCUGCAGAAAGGGUGGAGGAAACCGGACGGCGUCUAGCAAACUACUGCAAGAAGUUCAAUGUACCAUUUGAAUACAACUUCAUUGCACAGAAAUGGGAAACCAUCCGUCUCAAGGAUCUAAAGAUAGACAGGAAUGAAAUAACUCUUGUUAGCUGUUUGUACAGACUGAAGAACCUUCCUGAUGAAACUGUGGCAUUGAAUUGUCCAAGAGAAGCUGUGUUGAAGCUGAUCAGGAAGAUUAAUCCAAAAGUCUUCUUCCAUGGAGUUGCCAAUGGAAGUUAUAACGCACCGUUUUUCCUGACUCGGUUUAAGGAAGCACUCUACCACUUCUCAUCGUUGUUUGAUAUGUUUGAGGCUAAUGUGCCUCGUGAAGACACGCAGAGGUCAAUGCUUGAGAGAGGGUUGUUUGGAAGGGAUGCUAUAAAUGUUAUAGCUUGUGAGGGUGCCGAGAGGGUCGAAAGGCCUGAGACCUACAAGCAGUGGCAGGUCAGGAACAAGAGAGCUGGGUUCAAGCAAAUCAGGUUGGAUUCUGAUUUGGUGAAUGAAACCAAAGCAAUGGUGAAGAAGGAAUACCAUAAAGAUUUUGUAGUCGAUGUGGAUUGUAAAUGGGUUUUGAAGGGAUGGAAAGGACGUAUUUUGUAUGCUUUAUCUGCUUGGGUUCCUGCUUAAGCAAAAUGUCCAAAAGGUGUUUUGAAUGGUAGAUUGAAGUUUCAAAAGGAAUAGUGAACCAACACAUACUAAUUUUGUAUUGAAAAAUGAAUUUGUUUUCAUUGGAAUUUAUUUUUAUGUCUAUGAUAUGAUCUGUUGUUGUUGUCAAGUGUUAAAAAGAUGUAUGUAGAUUAGAGAACAAGUCUUAUUGUUCCAUCAUGGAAUGGAAACAUGGGACCAACAAAAACAUUGAUCACAUUUUAAUGCAUUCACAUUGAAUUCAAAACAGAAGUUAGUACUUCAAAUGAUUUAUAUAUUGAUAUAAUAAUAACAGGUUGUGACGAAUGACUUGGGGAACAAGGGAAAACCUGCAUCUGACUCUUGCACAUGUUUGACCACUUCAUAUUAUUUCAUAUAUUUCUAAAACAUGAAAAAUCAAAGACUAGAUCACCCAGCACUUAUCAAUCAAUCUGGUAUUAUUACGAUAUAAUAUCAUAUCAUAUAUCAUCAUAAGAUAAAAUAAUAAGAAAGAGGGAUUGGCGGCUAUGAUACUCCUUCCUAGCAUCUUCCUUAGUACAAAGAAAGAAUCAUUUAUGAAUUCUAUAUAACAAAGCUGUGACUCCAAUUCAUCAAACAAUGUUAGCUCCUCUUCAGUUGUUAGAUAGCAACUUUUCCUAGGUUUGUCCACGGUUAUAUUCACUAGUGUCUACAAUAUUUUUACUCUAAUUCAUUCUUCUUUGUUCUAUUCUAAAUAUCAAAAUCAUUAUUAUCAUCCAAAAUAGAGUCGGCUAUGUAGUUUUAUGAAUCUUAUUUUCUUGCUGUUAUCAAAUAUAUCAAUCAACUAUGCUAUCUUUUCCUGCUUCUGUUUUUGUUCUGUCUAUGUUUUAGUUGAUUCAUCAAAGUUUUCCUAAUCAGAUGAAUAUUCUUGGCUUCUCAGACACAAUCUUCCAAAACAUAUAUUGUAAGAGUCUGAAUUUUUUGUUUCAAUUUUGAUAUUAGCCUUGUUUCAAUAUGCUUUCUCCAAACACCUUUCUGCAAGAUUUUAGUGUUCCAAACUCAGUAAACCAAGUAACAAAUGGGUUUGAAUUAGAAGAUUCACCAUCUUCACCUUCUUCUUCUGGCACAAGCUCAAAUGGACAAUUCUUGGAACCGACAAGAUAUUCCAAUAACAUCCUAAGAUACAUAAAUGACAUCCUCAUGGAUGAAGAAGAUGACUUGGAGCAAAAACCUUGCAUGUUGCAGGAAUGUUUAAGACUUCAGGCUGCUGAAAAGUCCUUCUAUGAUGUUCUUGGCCAUAACCAGCCUUCACCGAAUGAUAGCACUGACCCAGAUGGAAAUUUCAAUUGCGCUGCUAGUUUUGAGAGAAAUGGCAGCAGCUGCAUCGCUGAUAACUCAUAUGAAUCUAACUGGGUCAAUCAUGUCGUCGAAUUCGAAUCUUUUCCCAUACAACUAAAAAGUCCUUUAAUAGAAAAAAACUACUAUGACUUGACAGAAGCUGAUCCAGUUGUCAUCGAGACACAAGGUGCUAACCAUUUUCACAACGGAACUUGGAGUUGGAAUGACAUUCAACCAGUGACGUUGGAAGAAGUUUUACCUUCAACAGUACCAGAAAAAAGAAGUCGUAAGAUGGAUAGAGAUAAUGAUACUUGUAAUGAACAAGAGGGAAGAGGUAGCAAGGUUUCAGCUAUUCUCUCUGAUGAAUUAGAGCCACCAGAGAUUUUAGAUGAGGUACUGCUUUAUCAGAAAGGAAAGACUCUCACUCAAUACCAACAAGCAUCACAUAAUGUUGAUUCAGGAGGAAAGGCAAAGGAAACACAUUCGCGUUUGAAGAAAGCAUCUACGACAAACAAUGCCGCGGCUGUGGAUUUGUGGACCAUGCUAAAUCAAUGUGCACAAGCUGUGGCGAGCUACGAUCAAAGGAAUACAGAUGAGCUACUCAAACAGAUUAGGCAUCACUCUUCGCCUUUCGGCGAUGGACUCCAACGUUUAGCUCAUUACUUUGCUAAUGGUCUUGAGAUAAGAUUGGCUGCUGAGACGCCAUCAUAUCAGCCUCUUGAUGUGGCAACUGCUGGAGAUAUGUUGAAAGCUUACAAACUAUUUGUUACCGCGUCUCCUUUGCAGAGAGUGACAAAUACUUUGCUAACCAAAACGAUUUUCAAAAUAGUGAAGAACGAGAGCAGCGUUCAUGUUAUUGAUUUUGGAAUUUGCUAUGGUUUCCAGUGGCCGUGCCUCGUCAGAAGACUAUCAUUAAGACCUGGUGGUCCUCCAAAGCUUCGAAUUACAGGAAUUGAGCUUCCUCAACCAGGAUUUAGACCUACAGAAAGGGUGGAGGAAACCGGACGGCGUCUAGCAAAAUACUGCAAGAAGUUCAAUGUACCAUUUGAAUACAACUUCAUUGCACAGAAAUGGGAAACCGUCUGUCUCGAGGAUCUAAAGAUAGACAGGAAUGAAAUAACUCUUGUUAGCUGUUUGUACAGACUGAAGAACCUUCCUGAUGAAACUGUGGCAUUGAAUUGUCCAAGAGAAGCUGUGUUGAAGCUGAUCAGGAAGAUUAAUCCAAAAGUCUUCUUCCAUGGAGUUGCCAAUGGAAGUUAUAGCGCACCGUUUUUCCCGACUCGGUUUAAGGAAGCACUCUAC
RNAcentral lists this long non-coding RNA (6777 nucleotides) under Medicago truncatula (barrel medic). RNAcentral's name for it is "long non-coding RNA (MTRU_LNC000009)". The record is from RNAcentral. Lineage: Eukaryota; Viridiplantae; Streptophyta; Magnoliopsida; Fabales; Fabaceae.